Molecule: non-coding RNA, 72 nt
Organism: Nicotiana sylvestris (wood tobacco)
Lineage: Eukaryota; Viridiplantae; Streptophyta; Magnoliopsida; Solanales; Solanaceae
Source: Rfam
GUCGUUAUAGUAUAGUGGUAAGUAUUCCCACCUGUCACACGGGUGACCCGGGUUUGAUCCCUGGAAACGAUG